Molecule: ribosomal RNA, 689 nt
Filed under: Escherichia coli
Lineage: Bacteria; Pseudomonadati; Pseudomonadota; Gammaproteobacteria; Enterobacterales; Enterobacteriaceae
Also listed under: 2 other names
Description: partial 23S ribosomal RNA
Rfam family: Bacterial large subunit ribosomal RNA
Source: RNAcentral
GGGUUGUGAGGUUAAGCGACUAAGCGUACACGGUGGAUGCCCUGGCAGUCAGAGGCGAUGAAGGACGUGCUAAUCUGCGAUAAGCGUCGGUGAGGUGAUAUGAACCGUUAUAACCGGCGAUUUCCGAAUGGGGAAACCCAGUGUGUUUCGACACACUAUCAUUAACUGAAUCCAUAGGUUAAUGAGGCGAACCGGGGGAACUGAAACAUCUAAGUACCCCGAGGAAAAGAAAUCAACCGAGAUUCCCCCAGUAGCGGCGAGCGAACGGGGAGGAGCCCAGAGCCUGAAUCAGUGUGUGUGUUAGUGGAAGCGUCUGGAAAGGCGCGCGAUACAGGGUGACAGCCCCGUACACAAAAAUGCACAUAUUGUGAGCUCGAUGAGUAGGGCGGGACACGUGGUAUCCUGUCUGAAUAUGGGGGGACCAUCCUCCAAGGCUAAAUACUCCUGACUGACCGAUAGUGAACCAGUACCGUGAGGGAAAGGCGAAAAGAACCCCGGCGAGGGGAGUGAAAAAGAACCUGAAACCGUGUACGUACAAGCAGUGGGAGCCUCUUAAUGGGGUGACUGCGUACCUUUUGUAUAAUGGGUCAGCGACUUAUAUUCUGUAGCAAGGUUAACCGAAUAGGGGAGCCGAAGGGAAACCGAGUCUUAACUGGGCGUUAAGUUGCAGGGUAUAGACCCGAAACCCG